UCUUGUCUUCCUCCAUGUCAAUGAUGUAAAAAUCAGCUGGGAAGACUAGUUGGUCCACUUGCACCAACACAUCUUCAAGCACUCCCUUGGGAUAGACAAUCGAUCGGUCAGCCAAUUGAAUUACAAUGCUGGUGCUUUUUAGUGAACCUGCAUUCAAUAAAUUAAAAAUAGAGAGGGGCAUGACAUUGAUUGAAGCUCCAAGGUCACACAUGGCUUUCUUUAUCCCCACGUUGCCUAUCUUGCAUGAAACAGCGAACAUCCCUCUAUCCUUGCAUUUGACUGGAAUUUUUCUUUGAAUAACAGUGAGACACACUCCCCCACACUCACCUUUUCACGUUCAGCAAGUUUCCUUCGGUUGGUGCAUAGCUCUUUGAGGAACUUAGCAUACCUUGGAAUUUGCUUUACAGCAUCAAGUAGGGGAAUGUUGAUUUCCACCUUGCGAAAGGUCUCAAGUAUUUCUUUCUCCUCUUUUUCUUUUUGAGACCUUGCAAAUCUUUUGGGGAAG
This 505-nucleotide long non-coding RNA is filed under the name Manihot esculenta (cassava). RNAcentral describes it as "long non-coding RNA (MESC_LNC006411)". Lineage: Eukaryota; Viridiplantae; Streptophyta; Magnoliopsida; Malpighiales; Euphorbiaceae. The record is from RNAcentral.